CUUUAGAGAAACUAAAUCCUCAAAAUUCACAGUUGAUUCCAUUUCAUUGUUCAGGCCAACGUUCCAAAAGUCAGCACGUGUCAAUCAAACUUUCUUUUUUUAGACAAUCAACACCAUUUCUGGCCUCUUUAUAUUCAAGAUUUGCAUAAGCUAAUGAGAAUGUUGAUUGGUUAAAUAAACAAAGAGUAAAUAAUCAAUUAUGUCCAAUUGUUAACUAAUAUAAGGAAUAAUAAGCCUAUCCAGAUUUCCACUGAGCACAACAUUUGUCUCAGACAUAAAAACAUACCAGCCGUUCCUGGGCAGGAUGAGUUUGAACCGUCCACGAAGCUCGGCAUGGUCUUAUAUUGUCACCAUUGGUCCUGUCUGCACAGUGGGUUUUACAGUGUUCGAUGUCUAUCAAAAAAAAAGUGUUCAGCACAGUCCAAAAUCUAAAGUACAUUACUACUUAUGCUACUUACUUCCAUUUGGAUCUCUGUGACAUCCCUGUAUCUGCAUGGGAAGACUACCAUUUGGGGGUCGUGAUUUAGUUUCUUCCCAAUGGGGUGGUGAUCAAGGAGCUAGUAAAAAAAAAAUAAUAAAAAUGAAAAAAUAUAUAGCUAAGCAGAGUAACAAUAUCAAGAAAAAAUUACAACCUUGUCCUAUUUGGAUCAUGUUACAACAUUCAAACUACAAAGGACCAGACAAAACAAAUGAAGGCAAAACAACAAUACCAUACAACAACAAAAACAGCGAGCUGCGAAUUGCAGGCAUGUACAUAAUGAAAAAUAAGAGUGCAAUAUAAUGAAAACUACACAAAGAAGACUGUUCAUUGAGGGGAAAAAAAUGUAAAAAGCAUUAGCAGCAUUAGCCAAUUCGCUGCUGAAUUCAUCAGUACGUAUUAAACAAUAUAAGUAGAGCAAAGUCACAUGCAGUUAGUAAAGGAAGACAUUAUUUAAAUUACAUUAAGAAUACUAGAUAUAAGUACGGUCUUUUCAACUCAGAAUAAACACUUCAUAUUUUCACCGCAAGUGUUGUUUAACUAUUUAACAUUUUUAAACAUGCAUACGCUUUUAAAAACUUUUUUUCAGUGCGGCCACUUACCGUGUUUUCUUCGCGAGAGGUGAAAUAACGUAACUUGUUUUCGUCGCAAGGGUUGACGACAUUUCCGGUCUGAGGGGAUUGAGAGCUGCGGUAUUGCGUCAUUUCCUGUCUGCGGGAUGGGUACUGAGAAGAGCGGCGCAGGGUACUGAGAGAGGCGGGCUGCAGCCAGACUCCUCUCGAAGUCGGCGCUCGGUGGACGAGCGUAGACGGCGCGCGGCCGUUGGCCGAAACGUAGACCGCGGCCCGCCUCCUCCUUUUGCUGUAGAAAAUCCCACGUCGCCGUUGGCCGAAACGUCGACCGCGGUCAGCCUCCUUUUUUCGGCCGCGGCCAAUCGGCUCUCCUCGCCUACGAACACGGACGCCCGUGAUUGGCUCCACGAACGCAGACCGCGGCGGCCCGCCUCCUCCUUACGACGCGCCUGCGAUUGGCCCAAAAGACGCAAUCGGCGAAAAGACCCACGCACUCAAUCGACAAGCUGAAAAGUGUACAUCAGAAGCGAUGACCGGCCACCAUGCUUUGCUGCCUAAACUGCGCUUGAGAAGUACAUGUACAAACAAGGAAAAACUGCCUUGCCGUCACCGCAGCUCCAACAGACCAGCAGAUCCCCGGCCAGCUCACGGUGACGUUUGGGAAAUACAAAGGCAAGACCUUCAUGUGGCUUACGGAAUUGUUGGGAAUCAUUCAUACCUUAAAAUAUUACGCAAUAAUUACCUGACUCCGUUUUAGUGUUAUAUAAGUUUUACCUUAUCACCAAACACUCUUCCAACAAUUACGCGUAUUCGUUCUGAAAAGAAAGGCGUCAGGAAGCCGGCAUUUUCACACACGAGUGGAUUUAUUCCUAACAAGGAAAUCUAAUACAGCACUUGGGUCUCAGGUCCCUCAGUACAGCCUCGUACUCCCCUGUGUCUAUCAGGAGAAGCACACAUCCCGAGUUGCCCAAGAAUGAUUCAUACUACACAAUAUGCAAAUACAUGUUCCUAGCGACUAUUGAUUGGCUAUGUGAUACCUGCAGUUAUCCUUAGCUUGCUCUGAUUGGUUUAAAUUCCCCUGCAAGAUGGCGUGGUCUUCUCUCUUCAUCUCCGGGUGGUCCCUCUCAGUGGGGGUCCCUCUCAGUAUGCGGGACAGCCGGGUUAUUUUCCCGCCUUUUGAGACAAAAGGGAGCGUCUGCCCCCCUUCCUGUGGUUGACUGUGGGCUUGUUCUGCAAGUCCUGUAAUUGUGCCUUCACACACAUCUGUUAUGUUAUUCCCUGACACUUGUAGGAAUGCCUCUGCCAUUACAUUUGACUGUUGAUUAAAGUUCUGCAUGGUAAAACACUGUUUUCUCUUAUUUUGAAAUUACUUUACCUUCAGGAGGAAGAUGUCGGCUAUGUCAAGUAGUGAGUAUAUAUAAGAAAUUGAUAAUAGGCAGUGGAUUGUGUGUCU
Corythoichthys intestinalis (scribbled pipefish) is the source of this 2503-nucleotide long non-coding RNA. RefSeq lists it as uncharacterized. The record is from RefSeq and is a predicted model, not a curated record. The transcript is spliced from 3 exons. NCBI's taxonomy places the organism in Eukaryota, Metazoa, Chordata, Actinopteri, Syngnathiformes, Syngnathidae.